CUUAGAGAAGAUUUUAGAGCCACUUUGGAUGGCUUGAACAGGGUCCUACUUCCUACCAGGGUGGUGGUGAACUGGCCCCACUGUGCAUCAGAGUUUAUUUUGACUGCAUAUUUGUGACAAGAUUUUUGCUUUUACUUUUCAGAUAUAAUAACAGUAACAGUAGUUAAUAGCAUUUAUGUGGUGCUUUAUAGUUUACAAAGCAAUUUACUCAUUAUCUUUUUUGGUCCUCACAACAACGAGGUAAGUGCUGCUCUCUCUGAUCUUACGUAUGAGAAAACUGAGGCCGAGAAGGUUAAAUGAGAGUUAACACAGAUGAGUGAAGCAGGAUUUGAAUUUGGGUCUUUCUAUCUCUGCUACCUUGGGGAAAGAAGGGAAGGGAGGAGAUAGGUUAGGGCUAUUUCCUGGCCCCACAAAGAUGAGAACAGAAGGAAGACCAGAAGGCACAUGGACAAACAGGACCUCACUGAAAGUUGUAAAUGUUGAAUUUCUUGUACUUAUGCAGAAAAGUCAGCACUUUCCUGUAUAAUCCUUCUCUUCAGCAUAUAUGGACAUGCUUAUUUUAUUAGGUGUUUACUAAAUUUAGAAUUUUAAAAAAAUGGAAUAAUACAAAAAAGGCAGAGGCUUUCCCUAAAACAGGAAAGAAUGGGAGAAUGAGAAAUGAGGAUAAAGGAAAAGAGAAAAUGGGGAGUGAAGACAGUGACAAACGAAAGCUAAUAGAAAAUGGGGAGUGAAGACAGUGACAGAUGAGAGCUGAUAGAGACUACAGUGAGGCCUGAGGUGGUUUGAAACCAGGACGAGGAGGUGCUAAUGGCGAGUGUGUGAAAUGAAGGGGUGUAGAAACUGGGUGAGAUGGGGUCCCAGGGAGGCCCAGGGGUGACUCCUCAUGCACUGACUUCUGCGGGGGCUCCUCCCUACCUGAAGGUAAAGUGCUCAUCUUGGAAGGAGGGCGAGUCACAGCCACGUUGAAUGUGACUCCACAGGGGCUUCCGGGGCUCAGUGCUUGUGUCUUUGAUCUGAAGGU
RNAcentral lists this long non-coding RNA (1021 nucleotides) under Sarcophilus harrisii (Tasmanian devil). RNAcentral describes it as "lncRNA (ENSSHAG00000020489.1)". Lineage: Eukaryota; Metazoa; Chordata; Mammalia; Dasyuromorphia; Dasyuridae. The record is from RNAcentral.